GAUGAACGCUGGCGGCGUGCCUAAUACAUGCAAGUCGAGCGAACAGACGAGGAGCUUGCUCCUCUGACGUUAGCGGCGGACGGGUGAGUAACACGUGGAUAACCUACCUAUAAGACUGGGAUAACUUCGGGAAGCCGGAGCUAAUACCGGAUAAUAUAUUGAACCGCAUGGUUCAAUAGUGAAAGACGGUUUUGCUGUCACUUAUAGAUGGAUCCGCGCCGCAUUAGCUAGUUGGUAAGGUAACGGCUUACCAAGGCAACGAUGCGUAGCCGACCUGAGAGGGGGAUAGGCCGCACUGGAACUUGGACAGGGUCAAGACUCCUAAGGGAGGCAGCAGAAGGGAAUCUUCCGCAAUGGGCGAAAGCCUGACGGAGCAACGCCGCGUGAGUGAUGAAGGUCUUCGGAUCGUAAAACUCUGUUAUUAGGGAAGAACAAAUGUGUAAGUAACUAUGCACGUCUUGACGGUACCUAAUCAGAAAGCCACGGCUAACUACGUG
RNAcentral lists this ribosomal RNA (497 nucleotides) under uncultured bacterium. RNAcentral's name for it is "partial 16S ribosomal RNA". It matches the Rfam family "Bacterial small subunit ribosomal RNA", at positions 28 to 507 of the family's 1533-position model. The record is from RNAcentral.